UUGCCCUACGGGGCGCAGCAGUAGGGAAUAUUGCUCAAUGGGGGAAACCCUGAAGCAGCAACGCCGCGUGAGGGAAUAAGGCCCUACGGGUCGUAAACCUCUUUUGCCGGGGAGCAAGGGCGGGGACGUGUCCCGGCCCGGAGAGUACCCGGAGAAAAAGCAUCGGCUAACUCCGUGCCAGCAGCCGCGGUAAUACGGAGGAUGCGAGCGUUAUCCGGAUUUAUUGGGUUUAAAGGGUGCGUAGGCGGGCUUUUAAGUCAGCGGUAAAAAUUCGGG
RNAcentral lists this ribosomal RNA (276 nucleotides) under uncultured bacterium. RNAcentral's name for it is "partial 16S ribosomal RNA". It matches the Rfam family "Bacterial small subunit ribosomal RNA", at positions 334 to 606 of the family's 1533-position model. The record is from RNAcentral.